UGGGUAUUUUUUUUCAUUUUUUUCAUACUUUAUGAUUUACUUUUUUGAUUAAAGGUCAGUUAUUGGGUGGAUUAGAUUUAUCAUCACCCUUGAUUGUAAUCAGUUUUCACUAUUAUUAUUAUUUGUAAGUAUCAACAACCUUAUUUAUCAUCACCCAAGGUGAUAAACUGUAUUAAACGAAAGCUUUUGGACCAAACCUUGAUUUCAAAUGAAUAAUUUAUAUUUACAUUUACAAAGUUGUCAAAUUGUUUCUCCUAAUCAUUCCAUUAUUUCAAAUAACAAUUAUGCUAUCAUUAAAUAAAUAUUAAAUAAAUAAACCAUUAAUAAUGAUAAUAGAUUAUAAUAAUAAUGAAACUUAAUCCAAACUCGUCAAUCCUUUUCUUAUAUUUCUAACCUUCUGUGAUACAAACUUCAAUUUAAAAAUGAUCCCUCAUCGACACUUGUAUUUUUCACCGUAAAUCAAGUCUACCAAUUUUUUUUAUUAUUAAUGAUUGAUACAAUUGAGAUUAAUUCUCAUCUUACUUUAAUUGUGGUUCCUUUAUUUUUUUUUGUUUUCUUGUACUUCAACUUAACUUAUCUUUACUAGAUAGUUUCAAGUGAUAUCAACAAUAACAACAAUAAUAAAAAUAAUAAUAAGUAGUAUGGCAAGGUAAAAUUUCCAGUUUUCAGUCAAAGAGUCAAAGAUGGUAUAAGGUUGUUGUGCUGUUGGACCCAAGAUGCUGAUGAUAAGAGAGAGAGAGAGAGAGAGGAAAACUAGAUUGACCCGUGGUUACCAUAAGUUGAAAGACGUCUUAAAGACAUAUGGUCUUUGGUCUUACCUUACAUUCAACCUGCCCCGUGCCUGAACCGGAAAAAAGGAGAGAAAAAAGGAAAAGAAGGAGCAAAGAAGUGGAAAGAAAAAGAAGAAACGAGACAAAGGAAAGAGCAAAGGAACCAACAUGUGAACAGGAAAAGACUUUUAAACUUCUAAACAUAUUUUACCCGAAAAUCUGUCUCCACAUGUCUAUGGAUAUAUUUAAAUGUACACAAGAUCUUUGUAAUUUUCCCUUUUUGACACAUGCACAUUCACUUUGCCCCUUGUGAUUCAAUCACUUAUAUCAAUUUUGGUAUAAACUUUGUUUCUUUUUCCGAAUUGCUCUUCAUCUUUCCAAUUUUUUCCAUCAUGAAUGAUGAUAAUGCGAUGUAAAUAUGAAUUGAUGAUUUUAACUUGAAUUAGCUUCGUAACUCUUUUACACUUUAAACUCAAUUUUUGUUAUAACAAUUUUAUUAACUCAUAUCAUGUUAGAUGUUGAUCUCAACUUUGCUUAUAUUUUCUUACCACUUUCAAUACUGUAAAGUAUUCUUGAAACGAUACCAAGUGUUUCUUGAAAUCUUCAUCUUCAUAUUUUACCAUUUUCUUAUUCAUCAUCGCUAUCAUUACCAGUAUAUUUUAUUAUUAUUUUAAUAUCAAAAUUUUAUCUCCUUCAUCAUAUUCAAUUCAAUUUUAUUUUGCUGUUUGAAACAUUUUCACACAAACUUACAAAAAAAACCUGAUUAUCAUUGUAGCCAAUCGCACUUUACCUGUUCAUAAACCACAUUUUUUAUGUUAUUAAUAUUCAAAUAUUAUAUAGUUUGCUCAUUUUCAUCUCUUA
Tetranychus urticae (two-spotted spider mite) is the source of this 1631-nucleotide long non-coding RNA. RefSeq lists it as uncharacterized. NCBI's taxonomy places the organism in Eukaryota, Metazoa, Arthropoda, Arachnida, Trombidiformes, Tetranychidae. The record is from RefSeq and is a predicted model, not a curated record.